RNAcentral lists this ribosomal RNA (658 nucleotides) under uncultured bacterium. RNAcentral's name for it is "bacterial SSU rRNA". It matches the Rfam family "Bacterial small subunit ribosomal RNA", at positions 52 to 748 of the family's 1533-position model. The record is from RNAcentral.
UGCAUGCAGUCGACGCAGCAGCUUCGGCUGGCUGCGUGGCGAACGGCUGAGGAACACGUGGGUAACCUGCCCCGGAGUGGGGGAUACCCCGUCGAAAGACGGGAUAAUCCCGCAUACGCUCUACGGAGGAAAGCCCCUACGGGCGCUCUGGGAGGGGCCUGCGGCCCAUCAGGUCGUUGGUGUGGUAACGGCGCACCAAGCCACUGACGGGUACCCGGUCUGAGAGGACGGCCGGGCAGACUGGGACUGCGACACGGCCCAGACUCCUACGGGAGGCAGCAGCAAGGAAUUUUCCCCAAUGGGCGCAAGCCUGAGGGAGCAACGCCGCGUGGAGGACGACGGCCUUCGGGUUGUAAACUCCUUUCGGGUGGGACGACUGCGACGGUACCACCAGAAGCAGCCCCGGCUAACUCUGUGCCAGCAGCCGCGGUAAGACAGAGGGGGCAAGCGUUGUCCGGAGUUACUGGGCGUAAAGGGCGCGGAGGCGGCCUGCGGCGUCGGCGCUGAAAGCGCCCCGCUUAACGGGGCGAGGCGUGCCGAUACGCGCAGGCUUGAGGCGAGCAGAGGGUGGUGGAAUUCCGGGUGGAGCGGUGAAAUGCGUAGAGAUCCGGAGGAACGCCAGUGGGGAAGCCGGCCACCUGGGCUCGACCUGACGCUG